This 504-nucleotide ribosomal RNA is filed under the name uncultured bacterium. Its description in RNAcentral is "partial 16S ribosomal RNA". It matches the Rfam family "Bacterial small subunit ribosomal RNA", at positions 30 to 523 of the family's 1533-position model. The record is from RNAcentral.
AUUGAACGCUGGCGGCAGGCCCAACACAUGCAAGUCGAACGGUAGCACAGGGAGCUUGCUCUCGGGUGACGAGUGGCGGACGGGUGAGUAAUGUCUGGGAAACUGCCUGAUGGAGGGGGAUAACUACUGGAAACGGUAGCUAAUACCGCAUAACGUCGCAAGACCAAAGAGGGGGACCUUCGGGCCUCUUGCCAUCGGAUGUGCCCAGAUGGGAUUAGCUUGUUGGUGAGGUAAAGGCUCACCAAGGCGACGAUCCCUAGCUGGUCUGAGAGGAUGACCAGCCACACUGGAACUGAGACACGGUCCAGACUCCUACGGGAGGCAGCAGUGGGGAAUAUUGCACAAUGGGCGCAAGCCUGAUGCAGCCAUGCCGCGUGUGUGAAGAAGGCCUUCGGGUUGUAAAGCACUUUCAGCGGGGAGGAAGGCGGUGAAUUUAAUAAGCUCACCGAUUGACGUUACCCGCAGAAGAAGCACCGGCUAACUCCGUGCCAGCAGCCGCGGUAA